RNAcentral lists this ribosomal RNA (624 nucleotides) under uncultured bacterium. Its description in RNAcentral is "bacterial SSU rRNA". It matches the Rfam family "Bacterial small subunit ribosomal RNA", at positions 113 to 735 of the family's 1533-position model. The record is from RNAcentral.
ACGCGUAUCCAACCUGCCUUACACUCUCGGACAGCCUUCUGAAAGGGAGAUUAAUACAAGAUGUUAUCAUGAGUAAGCAUUUUCGCAUGAUUAAAGGUUUACCGGUGUAAGAUGGGGAUGCGUUCCAUUAGAUAGUAGGCGGGGUAACGGCCCACCUAGUCUUCGAUGGAUAGGGGUUCUGAGAGGAAGGUCCCCCACAUUGGAACUGAGACACGGUCCAAACUCCUACGGGAGGCAGCAGUGAGGAAUAUUGGUCAAUGGACGAGAGUCUGAACCAGCCAAGUAGCGUGAAGGAUGAAGGUUCUAUGGAUUGUAAACUUCUUUUAUACGGGAAUAAACGAAUCCACGUGUGGAUUUUUGCAUGUACCGUAUGAAUAAGGAUCGGCUAACUCCGUGCCAGCAGCCGCGGUAAUACGGAGGAUCCGAGCGUUAUCCGGAUUUAUUGGGUUUAAAGGGAGCGUAGAUGGGUUGUUAAGUCAGUUGUGAAAGUUUGCGGCUCAACCGUAAAAUUGCAAUUGAUACUGGCAGUCUUGAGUACAGUUGAGGUAGGCGGAAUUCGUGGUGUAGCGGUGAAAUGCUUAGAUAUCACGAAGAACUCCGAUUGCGAAGGCAGCUUACUAACCU